GACGAACGCUGGCGGCGUGCUUAACACAUGCAAGUCGAACGGAAAGGCCCUGCUUUUGUGGGGUGCUCGAGUGGCGAACGGGUGAGUAACACGUGAGUAACCUGCCCUUGACUUUGGGAUAACUUCAGGAAACUGGGGCUCAUACCGGAUAGGAGCUCCUGCUGCAUGGUGGGGGUUGGAAAGUUUCGGCGGUUGGGGAUGGACUCGCGGCUUAUCAGCUUGUUGGUGGGGUAGUGGCUUACCAAGGCUUUGACGGGUAGCCGGCCUGAGAGGGUGACCGGCCACAAUGGGACUGAGAGACGGACCAGACGCCUACGGGAGGCAGCAGUGGGGAAUAUUGCACAAUGGGCGGAAGCCUGAUGCAGCAACGCCGCGUGCGGGAUGACGGCCUUCGGGUUGUAAACCGCUUUCGCCUGUGACGAAGCGUGAGUGACGGUAAUGGGUAAAGAAGCACCGGCUAACUACGUG
RNAcentral lists this ribosomal RNA (468 nucleotides) under uncultured bacterium. RNAcentral's name for it is "partial 16S ribosomal RNA". It matches the Rfam family "Bacterial small subunit ribosomal RNA", at positions 28 to 507 of the family's 1533-position model. The record is from RNAcentral.